GCAGAACCUCGGUCACGGCUCAGCCCCCGGACCCGAGACCUAGAGAGAGGAGGGGGAUUUGGCCAAGGUCACGCGGCCAUUCAGGGCUGGAAGUCAGGGCUCCCGCCUCCCAGUUCUGAACACUUACCCCCCAAAUUACUACUACUCGCCGAAGCUUUGUUGAGAAACAGAGCAUUGAGGCUUGACAAACUUGGGGCCAAGCCCUUUAUCGGCCUGAUCAGAUUCCGUUCCUCAGUAGCCCCAUCAGGUCGGUGACCCUACUUGGUCACUUUCUGGAGGGAAGAGAGCCCAGAGAAAUUCAGUUCUAUAACCAAGGUCGCACAGCUAGUCAAUUGUGAAGUCGGGAUUCGAACCUGGACCAGCAGGUGGACCCAACCUAACCUGGACCUCUGAACGAAGGUAAUGUUAAGUUGUGACCAGAAAGACAAACGGAAUCCAGUAAGACUAAGAAGAAAUUAAUUACCUUAAGCUGAGCUGGACACUGUCAUCCCACCUACAAGACGUGGAACUGGGACCCACAGAGGCUCCAUGACGUGGCCUGCGUACCACGGCUGUUUAGUGCCUGCACUCAGACUGGAACUCAGGUUUCCUGACCCCAUCCUGUGUCCUGGAUCCCUUAAACAAACUCACUUCUUUUGGGUUUAACGGCACAUUUGGGUCUUCAGAAGGCUUCUUUGAACGUGAGAGUGUGCUCCUGACCUUCCAGGCAGCUCCUCUUCCCAGCAAAGUCAAGCCAAGAGUUUACCUUAACCCCUGAAGAGAAAGGUAUAGGAAGGAAAGGCACCGUUACUAUGAUUAUUCUUUGUUAAGUGGCUAGAGUCCUGGUCUACUAGUAAGAAGAGGAGAGGUAGUUCUGGCUGGGGUAUAUGACCUCGCACUUUGGUUUAGUUUUAUACCUAUCUGUACAAUAGUAGAGAGACGGGGAUGGGACUAAAUGAUCUGGUAAGAUUCUCUUUGUCCUUGCAUGUGAAGCCUCUGAGCCUCUACCAUUCGAAGAUUCCAUUUACUGUCGAAGAGUCUGUGAGUGUUUGUUUCAAGCUUCUAUGAGAUUAGGAUUCUGUAACAGUGAGAGCCUCGUCCUGGGGUUCCAAGAUCCCAUGACUCACUCAAAAUUCUAUUGAAAGAUUCCAUUUGCUCUUAACUAUUCUUGUGGGUUUCUCCUUAAAUAGCACUUCCUCAGAAAUUCCUUCCUAACCCUUCCCCCAGCGCACUUUAUACACCCCUCCCCAUUGUCUCCCCUGGGAUCUCGUUUUUUUUCCCAUCAUAACACAGUCCUAAUUGGUAAUUAGAUAUUUGCUUGUGUGCUUUUGGUUAAUGCCUGUCUUCUCCACAUCUCUAUUGCUUGGUAAAGUCAAUACUCAGUGAAUAUUUGAUGAAUGAAAAAUAAAUGAAUG
RNAcentral lists this long non-coding RNA (1394 nucleotides) under Equus asinus (donkey). RNAcentral describes it as "lncRNA (ENSEASG00005034002.1)". The record is from RNAcentral. Lineage: Eukaryota; Metazoa; Chordata; Mammalia; Perissodactyla; Equidae.